Molecule: ribosomal RNA, 254 nt
Filed under: uncultured bacterium
Lineage: Bacteria
Description: partial 16S ribosomal RNA
Rfam family: Bacterial small subunit ribosomal RNA
Source: RNAcentral
UACGGAGGGUGCAAGCGUUAUCCGGAUUUACUGGGUUUAAAGGGUGCGUAGGCGGACUUUUAAGUCAGGGGUGAAAUCCCGGGGCUCAACCCCGGAACUGCCUUUGAUACUAUUGGUCUUGAAUGUUGUGGAGGUGGGCGGAACGGGUCAUGUAGCGGUGAAAUGCAUAGAUAUGACCCGGAACACCGAUUGCGAAGGCAGCCCGCUACGCAACGAUUGACGCUGAGGCACGAAAGCGUGGGGAGCGAACAGGG